CCUUAUACGACCGUACCGCAAACCGACACUGGUGCGCGAGAUGAGUAUUCUAAGGCGCUUGAGAGAACUCAGGAGAAGGAACUCGGCAAAUUGACACCGUAACUUCGGAAGAAGGUGUGCCCUAUUAGUGUGUAGUGAACAACGAAGCAUGAAUGGGUUGCAAAAAAUCGGUGGCUGCGACUGUUUAUUAAAAACACAGCACUCUGCAAACACGAAAGUGGACGUAUAGGGUGUGACGCCUGCCCUGUGCUGGAAGAUUAAAUGAUGGGGUGCAAGCUCUUGAUUGAAGUCCCAGUAAACGGCGGCCGUAACAAUAACGGUCCUAAGGUAGCGAAAUUCCUUGUCGGGUAAGUUCCGACCUGCACGAAUGGCGUAACGAUGGCCACACUGUCUCCUCCUGAGACUCAGCGAAGUUGAAAUGUUUGUGAUGAUGCAAUCUCCCCGCGGAAAGACGGAAAGACCCCAUGAACCUUUACUGUAGCUUUGUAUUGGACUUUGAACAGAUCUGUGUAGGAUAGGUGGAGGCUUUGAAGCAGGGUCGCUAGAUCUUGUGGAGCCAACGUUGAAAUACCACCCUGGUGUGUUUGAGGUUCUAACCUAGGUCCAUUAUCUGGAUCGGGGACAGUGCAUGGUAGGCAGUUUGACUGGGGCGGUCUCCUCCCAAAGCGUAACGGAGGAGUUCGAAGGUACGCUAGUUACGGUCGGACAUCGUGACGAUAGUGCAAUGGCAUAAGCGUGCUUAACUGCGAGACUGACAAGUCGAGCAGAUGCGAAAGCAGGACAUAGUGAUCCGGUGGUUCUGUAUGGAAGGGCCAUCGCUCAACGGAUAAAAGGUACUCUGGGGAUAACAGGCUGAUACCGCCCAAGAGUUCAUAUCGACGGCGGUGUUUGGCACCUCGAUGUCGGCUCAUCUCAUCCUGGGGCUGUAGCCGGUCCCAAGGGUAUGGCUGUUCGCCAUUUAAAGAGGUACGUGAGCUGGGUUUAAAACGUCGUGAGACAGUUUGGUCCCUAUCUUCCGUGGGCGCUGCAGAUUUGAGGAAGCCUGCUCCUAGUACGAGAGGACCGGAGUGGACACACCUCUGGUGUAUCGGUUGUCACGCCAGUGGCAUUGCCGAGUAGCUAAGUGUGGAAGAGAUAACCGCUGAAAGCAUCUAAGCGGGAAACUCGUUUCAAGAUGAGAUCUGCCGGGGCCUUGAGCCCCCUAAAGAGUCGUUCAAGACCAGGACGUUGAUAGGUCAGGUGUGGAAGCG
RNAcentral lists this ribosomal RNA (1250 nucleotides) under metagenome. RNAcentral describes it as "bacterial LSU rRNA". It matches the Rfam family "Bacterial large subunit ribosomal RNA", at positions 1632 to 2875 of the family's 2925-position model. The record is from RNAcentral.